RNAcentral lists this ribosomal RNA (468 nucleotides) under uncultured bacterium. RNAcentral's name for it is "partial 16S ribosomal RNA". It matches the Rfam family "Bacterial small subunit ribosomal RNA", at positions 28 to 507 of the family's 1533-position model. The record is from RNAcentral.
GACGAACGCUGGCGGCGUGCUUAACACAUGCAAGUCGAACGGAAAGGCCCUGCUUUUGUGGGGUGCUCGAGUGGCGAACGGGUGAGUAACACGUGAGUAACCUGCCCUUGACUUUGGGAUAACUUCAGGAAACUGGGGCUAAUACCGGAUAGGAGCUCCUGCUGCAUGGUGGGGGUUGGAAAGUUUCGGCGGUUGGGGAUGGACUCGCGGCUUAUCAGCUUGUUGGUGGGGUAGUGGCUUACCAAGGCUUUGACGGGUAGCCGGCCUGAGAGGGUGACCGGCCACAUGGGGACUGAGAUACGGCCCAGACUCCUACGGGAGGCAGCAGUGGGGAAUAUUGCACAAUGGGCGGAAGCCUGAUGCAGCAACGCCGCGUGCGGGAUGACGGCCUUCGGGUUGUAAACCGCUUUCGCCUGUGACGAAGCGUGAGUGACGGUAAUGGGUAGAGAAGCACCGGCUAACUACGUG